GAUGAACGCUAGCGGCAGGCCUAAUACAUGCAAGCCGGACGGCAAGUUGAGUAGCAAUACUUGACCUAGAGUGGCGUAAGGGUGCGUAACACGUAUGCAAUCUGCCCACAGCCGGGAGAUAGCCCUCCGAAAGGAGGAUUAAUAUCCCAUAGGAAGAUGAGAUGGCAUCAUUUUAUUUUAAACUACGGGGCUGUGGAUGAGCAUGCGGUUGAUUAGCUAGUUGGCGGGGUAAAGGCCCACCAAGGCGAUGAUCAAUAGGGGACCUGAGAGGGUGAUCCCCCACACUGGCACUGAGAUACGGGCCAGACUCCUACGGGAGGCAGCAGUAGGGAAUAUGGACAAUAGGGUGUAAGCCUGAUCCAGCCAUGCCGCGUGCAGGAAGAAGGCCUUCUGGGUUGUAAACUU
RNAcentral lists this ribosomal RNA (405 nucleotides) under uncultured bacterium. RNAcentral's name for it is "bacterial SSU rRNA". It matches the Rfam family "Bacterial small subunit ribosomal RNA", at positions 28 to 432 of the family's 1533-position model. The record is from RNAcentral.